CGCUCCCUGGAAUAUUUGCCAGACAGCUUAGACCCCUGAGCCGAUGCGCAUUACCCCCGGAGGUUUUAGUGCUAUGGGCGUGCAUGCCUGCUUGACGGGAAGCCCGAUAUAGCGCGGAAACCACCACCUUGAACCGUUGGGUUCAAGGGCCAUGUUGUCAGCGGUAUUGUGGGGAGCCC
Non-coding RNA from Oceanicoccus sagamiensis, 179 nucleotides. It matches the Rfam family "6S / SsrS RNA". From Rfam's summary of the family: E. coli 6S RNA was the first non coding RNA to be sequenced, but its function was unknown until recently. It consists of 184 nucleotides that fold into an extended hairpin structure with a large single-stranded internal bulge. Lineage: Bacteria; Pseudomonadati; Pseudomonadota; Gammaproteobacteria; Cellvibrionales; Spongiibacteraceae. The record is from Rfam.